AGAAAAAGAGUUGCCUGCUGCUGGAAUCGAACCAGCGUCGCCACGGCCACAACGUGGAGUACUAACCACUAUACUAAGCAGGCCGAGAGAG
This is a non-coding RNA of Caenorhabditis elegans, 91 nucleotides long. NCBI's taxonomy places the organism in Eukaryota, Metazoa, Nematoda, Chromadorea, Rhabditida, Rhabditidae. The record is from Ensembl.